AUUGAACGCUGGCGGCAGGCUUAACACAUGCAAGUCGAGCGAGCGGCGGACGGGUGAGUAAUGCCUGGGAAACUGCCUGAUGGAGGGGGAUAACUACUGGAAACGGUAGCUAAUACCGCAUACCAUCAGAUGAACCCAUAUGGGAUUAGCUAGUAGGUAAGGUAACGGCUUACCUAGGCGACGAUCCCUAGCUGGUCUGAGAGGAUGAUCAGCCACACGGGGACUGAGACACGGCCCAGACUCCUACGGGAGGCAGCAGUGGGGAAUAUUGCACAAUGGGCGCAAGCCUGAUGCAGCCAUGCCGCGUGUAUGAAGAAGGCCUUCGGGUUGUAAAGUACUUUCAGUCGGGAGGCGUUACCGUCAGAAGAAGCACCGGCUAACUCCGUGCCAGCAGCCGCGGUAAUUC
RNAcentral lists this ribosomal RNA (406 nucleotides) under uncultured bacterium. Its description in RNAcentral is "partial 16S ribosomal RNA". It matches the Rfam family "Bacterial small subunit ribosomal RNA", at positions 30 to 526 of the family's 1533-position model. The record is from RNAcentral.